Molecule: long non-coding RNA, 2471 nt
Organism: Sapajus apella (tufted capuchin)
Lineage: Eukaryota; Metazoa; Chordata; Mammalia; Primates; Cebidae
Exons: 2
Source: RefSeq, a predicted model, not a curated record
CCUGGCACAUCGUAGGUGUAGGGGAGGUGUUAGCUAUCUCAGUGAUGGAACACCGCUCCCCCAUCCUACCUCCGGCAGCAGCCCCUCCUAUUACAGCAUCUCCCAUCGGGCAGCUCUGGCCCAGGUCACAGUCUGCUUCCUGCUCUGGAUUUUUUACCUUGGAACUGAAUUCAUCCUCCAGUUGCUGUUUUGUUAGUGCAUCUCUUGUUUCCAUCAUGAAUUGUCCCUGGACAGAGUCUCCUGAUCUCCUGCAGUGAUUCAUCUGAUAACUGGAUGUGAAGUGCUCUCCCUGACACAAGGCCCCUCAUGGUGCUCCUGGCUGCCCUCCUCUCCAGCCUUACCGAAUUGUUCACCUACUUAAACAAUUGCCUCUUCAGAGACCCCGGUCUAUGUCAACGAUUGCCCUCUCUGGACUGUGACCACCUCCAGGAAGUAGGCUUGCGUCUCCAGGGUCCUAUACACAGCAGGAGCCGGGGCACUUCUAAGGUAAGGUCUUUGUUGAUGGGUCAGUCUGAUUGAGUUGUGUGUGCAAGGGAUCUGAAUUCCUGCAGACAUGACCACUUCCUGCGUGAGUCUCGGUUUGCCGCUCUGCAAAAUGGCCAUACCACCUUCCCACAGCUGCCGAGGGCUGGGCUCCGAGUGUCCAGCAGCAUCGAGCUGUCACCCAGGAGACUCAGUGAGUCCCCUCACCCCUUCCUGAUCUGCUCAGGCUUACUGCCUUCGUUUUGGGUGUCGUCAGCCCCAACCUCAUUUUUGUUGUUCUUGUUAAGUAAAGGUAUAAAAACCUUCAUUAUUAACUGGCUUAGAGAUCCUAAAUCAUCCUUUUAAGGGUGAAAAAAAAAUUCUUAUUGGUUGUUAGACACACCAAUGACUCUCUUGGUUGCUAUGGUGAUUCUCUGACACCCCCUCUUGCAGAUUAAAAAUGCCUCACAUUUCUAAGUCUGGCUGCCCCCAACAGUGACUUCUGGCCCAGCAAUUCCCACCCCAAAGCAGGAAGGGGGGCCUGGCAGUUUCUCGGGGUUGCAGCUGUGGCCUCAGCUGUCAGAAUUGAAUCUGACUUUCCUGUGUCAGGGCCUGGGUCAUGUAUGGAGAUGACCCCAUAUGCACUUCCCUACUUAGCUGUGCAGUUUUGACAGAGGUGGUAUACAAAGCCAAAAAGCCCCCGAGCUACUUGUCCAGGACGCCUGCUCCUUUCAGAGGAAAAUAACUGUCUUCCCACUCAAGGCCGAUUUCUCCAAAUUAACUCUUAUGUCGGCAAAACUGCAUGAACUUCACUGGCACCCUAUGGCUUCGCAUCUGUCACUCACUCACACGCAUGUGCUCUCUCUCCCUACAUACUGUGGUAACUAUCUUGUCCUCAAGGUGGAAUUUUACUCUCAUAAGGAUGGACUCUAUCCCCUUCUUUUCCACCUUCCUCCCGUUCCCAUGAGUCCUCCACACAGGUUCGUUUCUUUAAAGGUUUAUUUCUGGCGAAUAAAAAAAAAAUAACUUAUGUGGUUAGAUAAAUUAAUGUAUGUGAAUAGACAUGACACAGGCAGAGAUGGGAGUUCCUGUUUUCUUCUGGAUCUUGCAGGCUGGUGAGAGGCAGCUGAAUGAGACCGAGCCUCAUGUUUUGUGGGAUGAAGAGAUGCUGACACAGUGACUCAGGUACAUUGAUGCUCCCUGGAGGGCUGGGAGGUGGGCUCAGAGGAAGGCCGAAUCCGGACCUCUUUUAUUGAAAAGAAAUAACUCUUUAAUGUAGCAUUUAAAAAAAUCAAUCAGCCGAAGCUCUGCACACACUCAUCCGUAAUGAUCAUAAACAUAACAUACCAAGCACAGGCUCAGAAAUAUAGAGCAGUAGCCUCAGGACAUUUUCAACAUGGUACUUGGGGACGCCUUUGGGAGAGAUACCUUCCCCAGCAGAGGUCGCCUCUGGAGGCCAGCACUGUGGCGAGAUGGGACCGGAGCCACUACUAGCAUAGCUAUUAAGAUCUUUGGCUUUCUGAACUCUGUCUGGGGACCACUGCCCUUUAGCCUGAGGUGAACGUCUCCAAAUUUCUAGCAGCCAGCCCCUUGGUCAACAGAUGGUACCUUUCCUCCAGGAAUCUGAGAAUGGAGGAUGCGUACAGUCUGUGCUGGGGUCUUUAGGCCAGAAUCCCAGAGGCCUUUCCAGAGCCCUGAACCUCAGGGCUGAGAGAGAAGAUUCUGGGGACCACCUGCCAGGGAGGAACCCAAACCUCCUCAGGGAGAGACCUGCCAGUUCCCCAGGAGCAGAGACCAUGGCUUGCUCACCACUUUUCCCUGUUUCUGGUUCCUUCAGGAGGUUUUGGCCUUGGGGUCACUUUGGAGGUAAGGUUUACUCUCUUAGGCUGUGGUGAAUUUUGGUUACGAUUUUUUGAUAAACUAGGAACAGGCUUUAGUUGCCUGUAAACGCAUUAAGCCAGAAAGCAAGCAGGUGAGACUCAGGAGCAGCUCAAAAGGUUUUCCCUGAU